AUUGAACGCUGGCGGCAUGCUUUACACAUGCAAGUCGAACGGUAACAGGUCUUCGGAUGCUGACGAGUGGCGAACGGGUGAGUAAUACAUCGGAACGUGCCUAGUAGUGGGGGAUAACUACUCGAAAGAGUAGCUAAUACCGCAUGAGAUCUACGGAUGAAAGCAGGGGACCUUCGGGCCUUGUGCUACUAGAGCGGCUGAUGGCAGAUUAGGUAGUUGGUGGGGUAAAGGCUUACCAAGCCUGCGAUCUGUAGCUGGUCUGAGAGGACGACCAGCCACACUGGGACUGAGACACGGCCCAGACUCCUACGGGAGGCAGCAGUGGGGAAUUUUGGACAAUGGGCGAAAGCCUGAUCCAGCAAUGCCGCGUGCAGGAUGAAGGCCCUCGGGUUGUAAACUGCUUUUGUACGGAACGAAAAGCCUGGGGCUAAUACCCCCGGGUCAUGACGGUACCGUAAGAAUAAGCACCGGCUAACUACGUGCCAGCAGCCGCGGUAAUACGUAGGGUGCAAGCGUUAAUCGGAAUUACUGGGCGUAAAGCGUGCGCAGGCGGUUUUGUAAGACAGUGGUGAAAUCCCCGGGCUCAACCUGGGAACUGCCAUUGUGACUGCAAGGCUAGAG
Molecule: ribosomal RNA, 621 nt
Filed under: uncultured bacterium
Lineage: Bacteria
Description: bacterial SSU rRNA
Rfam family: Bacterial small subunit ribosomal RNA
Source: RNAcentral